Non-coding RNA from Malus domestica (apple), 2793 nucleotides. Lineage: Eukaryota; Viridiplantae; Streptophyta; Magnoliopsida; Rosales; Rosaceae. The record is from RefSeq and is a predicted model, not a curated record.
GGAAAGAAAUUGGAAAUAUGCCCAUCGCCAUGACAUGCUCAAAGCUAGAGAGCCACAAACUCCCCAAAAUCCUACAAUGAAACCAAGAGCCACUGAAAUAUAAAGCCAUGAAAUUUCAUUCCCAUUGUCAUGUUCAUCUUCCAGGUUCUUAGUUGCAUCAUCACUUGUAUUCAUCUGUUGGCAUUUGUUUGGAAGCGGGGAACCGCAAAGUCCCGGGUUUCCCUCAAAGGCAGUGGCAUCAAAGCCUUGGAGCUGUGUGCCUGACGGUAUUUGUCCUUGGAGGUUAUUGUAUGCAACACUAAGUGAAGCCAAGAAAUGAAGGCUUGAUAGUGAAGGUGGGAUUCCGCCCGACAGAUGGUUUCUUGAGAGGUCUAAUCUCUCCAAGUUUGUGAGCUUAGAUACCUGGUCCGGAAUGCUGCCAACAAUGUUGUUGAUGCUGAGAUCCAGCUCGUGAAGGUUUUGCAACGGGCCUAUCUCAAUGGGAAUGUUGCCACUUAGAUGGCGGCAAGUUGGACAGAGAGUUGUACUGCAGCUCUAUGACAGUUUCAUUCCUGCGCUGCGUGUAGAUAGGGAGAUCGACAUCACCACUAUCCGUUUGAGCGGAAGGCUUCUCAGUUACAAGAGCUUGAAGUAGUGAGAAAAGCUCCUUUGGAAGUCCCCCCGAAAGAGAGUUGUUUUCCAAGCUUAUGAAGAAAAGACUAGGAAGACUUCCCAACCAAGGAGGUAUUCCAAGUCUGUUAGAAGUCAAAUCAAGGACUUCGAGUUUCUUGAGCUUUGACAUCCACACCGGAAUAUGACCUCUAAGUUGGCAGUUCGAUAAGCCAAAAAUUUCAACAGAAAAAACUUUUACGUUGCAUGCUUGUUUUGUAGACGAUGAAGCUGCAUUUACAUGUUUCUUACGCUCAUAAGAUAAAUGCAGUUUUCAACUUUAUGAAAAGAGAUUGCACAUAAACUGUUUGAUGAAAUUCCUGAACCGUGUUCUUUUUUUGUCUUUUUUUUUCGGAGUUUUAACGAAACACUUCUGGUACUGUUCACUUUUAACAAAAAACCACAUUUUUACCUUUAUCCGGUACUAUUCACUACACCUUUAUUUGUUAUUUUUCAUUUUUUUGGACUUUUUGUUAGUUUUAUUUUUAUUUUUUUCCAGAUUUCCAGAUUGUUUUCAUGUUUCCAACAAUGGCCAAUUUGCAGGUUUAGGAACUUAGGUGCCACUGUAACACAUUUCCUGAACCGCCUCCUCUUGCGAAAGUUGGAACUCUGUGAUUUUCGGCUUCUGCUCGUGUUGGGAUUCGUUCAACGACUUCCGACUUGCAACCAGUGCAAACUAGAAGAACGAGCUUUAACUGGAACGUUGAAGAGAGAGGUGGUUUGGAAGUUGUCAGGGACCGUGAAAGAGUUACUGUUGUUUGCAUAUUCUGACCGAUUUGUACUCUCGGUUUCACUAUCCGGUUUGCCGCUUUUAACUUCAUCCCUUUGAUUUGGGAUUUGGACUUGGCCUUGGGCUUUCCUGUUAAGAAGAAGAAUAAGAAUUAGGAAUUGUAAACAAAUCGAAAAAAGAAAAAAUGAACAGAGUCUAGAUUCUAGAACUCUACCUUCUUCUAAGCCUUCUCCACUUCAGAUAGAGCGUGAAUUGAAUAUUGUCAAGGAAUUGGAAAUAGGCAUGUCUCCACGUCCUCUUGAGAAGCAAAGGGCAACAGAAUCCCAAAUACCCUACAAAGAAACCAAGCACAACGGAUAACCCAAACCAUAGACUUUGAUCCUCAUCAUCGUCCAAAUCCUGGUUGUUCUCAUUCUCAUCUGCAUCAUUGCCAUUACUUGGGAAGCACUGGUUUGAAAGUGGGGCACCGCAAAGUUUCGGAUUCCCUUCGAAUGCAGAGACACUGAAGCCUUGGAGCUGAGUGCCGGCUGGUAUUGAUCCUUCAAGAUUAUUGUAUGCAACAGUAAAUGUAGACAAGAAAUGGAGAUUUGAUAGUGAUGAUGGGAUUUCGCCUGACAGACGGUUACUGUUGAGUUCUAAUCUCUCCAACUUUGUGAGGUUGGCUAUUUGGUCUGGAAUGUUGCCGGAGAACUUGUUGAUGCUUAGAUCCAGUUGUUGAAGAAAUUGCAAUUGGCCAAUCUCAAAGGGUAUGCUGCCGCUUAAACUGUUGUUCCUGAGGGAGAUCACUCUUGGCAUGUUGCGCAGAUACUUGUACUGUGAAGACAGCACAGUUGCAUUAUUACCGCGUUGAAAGUAGACGGGCAACUCAAAAGAACAAUGGCCUGUUUCAUUUGCAACCUUUUGCGAUACUAAUGCUUGUAGUCUGCAAAGCUCCUUUGGAAAUUCACCCGAAAUCAAGUUGUCAUUCAACAUCAAAAGGAAAAGAUGCGGAAGAGUCCCCAACCAACCAGGUAUUGUGCCAGUGAGUCUAUUAAAAGACAAAUUCAGGACUUCCAGUUUCCCGAGCUUUGAAAUCCAUGCAGGUAUGUGCCCUGUCAUAUGACAGCCCAAUAAAUUGAAAACACACAGAUUUUGUAACCCGGAAUCGACAGUUAUAUCCCCAUCUGGCAUUUCUUCACCUUUAAAAUUUAUUGCAAGAAGGAGCACCUUAAGACUUUUGAAACCCGUCAGUAACUUCAUUGCCCCCGUGACAUUGGUGAGUCUGUUAUCAGAAAGCGAGAGGAAGGUCAAGUUUUUCAAUUGAAGAAUCUCAGGUUGGAUUUGGCCCUCAAAAUCAUUUGAAGACAGUCGAAGUGCUUUGAGGAACUUGCAUGAGUAGAGGCUUAUUGGCAAGGUACCAGUGAGAUUAUUACUUA